This is a long non-coding RNA of Mandrillus leucophaeus (drill), 5548 nucleotides long. RefSeq lists it as uncharacterized. Lineage: Eukaryota; Metazoa; Chordata; Mammalia; Primates; Cercopithecidae. The transcript is spliced from 5 exons. The record is from RefSeq and is a predicted model, not a curated record.
GCAUUCGGUGGGGCUUUUGUAUCUCGCUGGCGCCAGAGCUUGGGAUCGGUCUCUGCUGUUCUUCAUCCUCCACCUUGGGAGCCCCCGGUGACUGUCACAAUCUCUGUUGCCCUGUUAUCUGCAGGUUCUGGGAGACGCACAGUUAAGAUACCAGGACAUCAUGGAAGAUGGGAAAAGAUGGAGUUUCACUCUUGUUGCCCAGGCCGGAGUGCAGUAUCCCAAUCUCGGCUCACUGCACCUCUGCAUCCCAGGUUCUGCCGACAAAGGAGAUUAUGACAUAUUGCUGGGCCUAACACUAAGGUGAUGUUACAGCUUUGGCUGUGCCCUUGGAAGGCAUUGAGACAUACUGCUGUGCCCAGCACCAAGAUGAUGUAAUGUGACUCUUCUCUUCUGCUUAAGGCCUGCCAAAAGAAAAGAUUGUGACAGAUCACCGGACCCAGCACCUAGGUAGGAUUGUGACAUAUAUCUGGCCAAGCAUGCAGAUGUAAUGGUAACUGUCAUACCUUGCAGAAGCCAAUAGGAGAGAGAAUGUUGCCCUCAGCUAGGCUGAGGAAAAUGAGGAAGUCCUCCUGUACAAAAGUCAUAAAGAAUUAGUACUCUCUCACAUCUAUAAAGCCCUAGUGUGUACAGAGAAUGUCAUAACAGGGUGCAGCACACAACUGAGAUUGUAUUUGUCCUAUGCACACCACACCAACCUUUACAGUUGUCACCCUGAUCCAUUGACAGAGUCCACUAGUGAGGUCCUGAAUCACAUGUGAACACAGUCCACAGUUGGAAUCGUGACUGUUAUAUGUGAACAUCUGGCUACAGCUGGGAUGGUGACUGAUUUCUAAAUCCAGCUCAUAGGAAGGUGAAGAUUCUCCUAUCUGGACUCAAUUAGAGAGACGUUGACUCUCAUAUCUGGGCUUAGAACCACAGGAAAGAUUCUGGAGCUCCUUCUUGUGCAAAGGUCACAGAGGAUUACCAAUCUUGCAUAUUGUAUAAAGUCCUCAGGUGACACAGAGAGUGUCUGUCCAAUGCACACCCGGGCAACAGUAAGGAUUGUCAUUCUCCCAUGUAAACACAUCCCACUGUUGAAGUUCUGAAUUUCACAGAGGCUGUCAAAAGUUGGAUAAUUGCCUCUCGUGUGGAUCUGGUCCACAGGUGGGUUAGUGACUUCUAGACCAAGAGUCACCACACGUGUAAGUCUGUGACCGCACUAAGAAGAUACAGUCUGCAGAAGAAACUGUGGCUCUUUUGCACACAUUCUGUCGAUCAUUGAGAUUGCGACUCAUGUACUUAGACCCAACAUACGGGAGGUGUUGACUUUCAUACCUUUAGAACCUGGACAUGUUUGGAAUUUCUAAUCUAAUCCCUGGACUUGCCUGCAGGUGUGAUUGUAUGCAUCUGCAGGGCACCUUAGUGAUCAGACUCUCCUGCGUUGGCCAGGCCCACAAAUGAGAUUGUGACAUAUGGUUUGACUCUGGACCUCCAAGAUGUGACUUUUUUCCAGCCUUGGAGCUGUCCACAGGGUGCAUUGUGACAUAUUCCUAAGCCCUGCACUCAGGUUAUGUGACUCUCCUUUUUUGCUUAGGCCUGAAUAUUUUUCAUGUUAAGACAUAUUGCUAGGUCCAACACCUAUAAAAUGGGAGACUGCCACCUGGGCCCUUUCUACAGAGGGCCUUGUGACAGACCGCUGCAUCAGUAACCUGGGAGAUGUGACUCUCCAUUUUUACCUGUACUCGUCCCACAGAAAAAACUGGCUGGCCCAGGUACCAGGUGAUAUGUGUCUGCUGCCUGGGCCUGGACCACAGAGGGCAUUGUUACUGAUUGCUGGGCUCAGCACCCAGGUGAUGUGAUUCUGCUGCCUGUGUGCUGCUUUCAGGAGAAGGUUGUAACUUAUUCCUGGCUGAGUAUUCAGGUGAUGUCACACUUCUGACUGGUCUCUGCCCUCAGAAAAGGUUGUGUCAAGCCAGGCCUGGUGGCUCAUGCCAGUAAUACCCAGCACUUUGGGAAACCGAGGUGGGUGGAUCGCCUGAGGAGUUUGAGACCAGCUGGCCGACAUGGUGAAACCCCGUCUCUACUAAAAAUACAAAAAUCAGCCGGGUGUGGUGGCAGCCGCCUGUAAUCUCAGCUAUUCGGGAGCCUGAGGCAGGAGAAUUGCUUGAACCCAGGAGGGGGAGGUUGCAGUGAGCCAAGAUCAUGCCACUGCACUCCAGCCUGGGCAGCAGAGCAAGACUCUGUCUCGGGGAGAAAAAAAAAAAAUUACAAAAAUUAGCUGGGCAUGGUGGCAUGUUCCUGUAGUCCCAGCUACUUGGGAGACUGAGGCACAAGAAUCAUGUACUUGAACCUAGGAGGCGGAGGUUGCAGUCAGCUGAGACUGUGCCAUUGCACUCCAGCCUGGGCAACAAGAGCGAAACUCCAUCUCAAAAAAAAAAAAAAAAAAGGUUGCGUCAUAUUCCUGGCUAAAAACCCAGAUGAUGCGACUCUCCUCUCUCCCUAUUCACAGGCAGGAUUGUAAUAUACAUUUUUUUUUUUGAGACAGUUUCAUUCUGUCCCCCAGGCUGGAGUGCAAUGGCAUGAUCUUGGCUCACUGAAACCUCCACUUCCUGGGUUCAAGCAAUUCUCCUGCCUCAGCCUCCUCAGUAGCUAGGAAUACAGGCGUGAGCCACCACACCUGGCUGAUUUUUGUAUUUCUAGUAGAGACAGGGUUUCCCAAUGUUGGUGAGGCUGGUCUCAAACUCUUGAGCUCAGGUGAUGCACCUGUCUCGACCUCCCAAAGUGCUGGGAUUACAGGUGUGAGCAACUGCGCCUGGCCUGUAAAAUAUAUCUUGACCUAGAUCACAGAUGCAAUGAUUACUCUCAUACCUCACACUAUCUAAUAGGAGAGAUGCUGUCUCUCUCUCUUUUUUUUUUUUUGGAGACAGUUUCGUUCUUGUUGCCCAGGCUAGACUGCAAUGGCGUGAUCUCCGCCCACUGCAACCUCUGCCUCCCAGGUCUAAGCGAUUCUCUUGCCUCAGCCUCCCAAGUAGCUGAGAUUACAGGCAUGUGCCACCAUACCCAGCUAAUUUUGUAUUUUUAGUAGAGAUGGGGUUUCUCCAUGUUGGUCACGCUGGUCUCAAACUCCCAACCUCAGGUGAUCUGCCCACCUCAGCUUCCCAAAGUGCUGGGAUUACAGGCAUGAGCCACUGCACCCAGCCCAACCAAGAUGCUGUCUCUUACAGCUAGGCCUAGAGUCAUGAAUAGGAUUCUGGGUCUCCUUGUACAAAGGUCAUAACGAAUUACCACUUUCUUGCAUACUAUAUAAAUCUCUUGUGGUGCAGAGAGUGUCAUUACAGGGUUCAGCAUACAGGUGAGAUUGUGGUUCUCAUAUACACUCCCGGCCAACUGUUAGAAUUGUCACCCUCACACGUAGACAGAGCCCACUGGUGAGGCCCUGAAUCUCACACACAUACACAGUCUACAGUUAAAAUUGUGACUGUCAUAUGUGAACAUCUGGCUAGAGUUGAAAUAGUGAUUUAUUUCUAAAUCCAGUUCAUAGGUGAGAAUUCUACCUGUCUAAGCCCAGGUAGGAUAGUCAACAUGUCCCUAAUUGGCUGGGGGACAUGUUGACUCUCCUACCUGGGCUUAGGGCCAAACAGUUCAUGGAAGGGAUGAAGGCUCUCAGCUCUCAUGCACAGAUUCAGUUGGUGAGAUUGUCACUAGCACACUUAGACCCAACAUACAGAAUGUGGUGACUCACAUGUCUAGAACUGGGACAUGUGCAGGAUUUUUAAUUACUGGACCUUCUUGCAGGUGUGAUUGUGACAUAUGUCUUUGUUAUGCACUGGAGUGCUUUGAUGCUUCUGUCUUGGUUCAGCCCGAAGUGAAGAUUGUGAUGUAUCACUGAACCCAGCAUCUCGGUGAUGUGACUUUUGUUUUUGGACACCACAAAUUUUGGGUAUUGUCAAAUAUUGCUGGAUCGUGUACCUAUGUUAUGUGACUCUCCAACCUGUGUCCUGCAUGUUGUGCCAUAUUGCAGCACAAUGUUUCACAUUAGACAUCAUUACAUAUUGCUGGGCUCAACACCCAGGUGAUGGAACGUUAUUUUCCUGGGCCCUGACUACAGGGGGCUUUGUGACAUAACUGAAUGCCCAUAACCAUGGUGAUGUUACUCUUCUCCUGCCUGGUCUCUGCUCACAGGGAAAUUGUGACAUACCAUUGGCUUAGCAUCUUGGUGAUGUGACUCUCCUCUUUUUUCUCAGGCCCCACAUAUUUGGGUAUUGUGACAUACUCAGAUGUGACACUGGGCUCAACACCUAAGGGAUGGGGAGUCCCCUACCUGGCUCCUUCCUCCAGGGGGCAUUGCGAUAUACCUCUGCACAGGUAUGUCACAGUUAUUACGUAGGAGAUGUGACUCUCCUCUUCUGCCUGCACCCUGCCUACAGUGAAAAUUGUGGCACAUUUCUGUGGCCAGCAACCAGGUGAUGUGUUUCUCCUGCCUGGAUCUUUAUUACAGAAAAGAUGGUUGACAUAUCACUAGGCCCAGCAUCUAGGUGAUGUGACUCUCUUCUGCCUGGUCCCUGCUUACAGGAACAUUGUAGCAUAUUGCUAUGCCCAGCACUUUUCUCUUCUUUUAGGUUUUGCCUGCAGGAGACUUUGUGACAUUGCUGGGCCCUGCACUGACAUUAUGUGACUCUUCUGUCUCUGUUUUGCCUACUUGGGCCACUGUGACAUAUUGCUGGGUCCAACAUCCAGGUGAUGUAACUUUUAUGCCUGGGUCCUGGCAUCUGAGGACAUUGUCUUUGCACCAAUCACACAGGUGAUGUGAUUUUCUUCUGUUACCUGGUCUGUGCACACAGGAAAAAUUGUGACCUUGGCCAGGCGCAGUGACUCACGCCUGUAAUCACAGCACUUUGGGAGGCCGAGGUGAGUAGAUACCUGAGGUCAGGAGUUCAAGACCAGCGUGGCCAACAUGGUGAAACGCUGUCUUAAAACACAAAAAUUAGCUGGGCAUGGCGGCAGGCACCUGUAGUUCUAGCUACACAGGAGGCUGAGGCAGGGGAAUCGCUUGAACCGGGGAGGUGGAGAUUGCAGUGAGCCGAGAUGGCACCACUGCACUCCAGCCUGGGUGACAGAGCGAGACUCCAUCUCAAAAAAAAAAGAUUGUGACCUUUUGCAGCACAUAGCUGAUUUGACUGUGCUUUGUGGAGUACACCAAGCAGGUUGUCAAACUGAUAGUCCCUUUACUGAAAUUUUAUUUCCACGAUGGUGUUGGAGGGGCAGCAGCAGAAUCUAUGCCUUUUCUCCUAAAGUGUGCGAGAGUCUGUGGUCCUGAGUAUCUCACACAGAUGUGGCAAUUUAUGUGAUGUUCUAAUUAAGACCAUUGGUACAGAAACAGAUUCAGACGUCUUCUCGGAAAUAAUGCAUUGUUUAGCAAAGUGCAUUGAAGUAAUGGGAGACGGAUGCCUUAGUAAUGAACACUUUGAAGAACACCUUUGCCACAUGUCCUCAGGACCUUCUGAGGGCUGUGUCAUGGGGCAUGGUCACUCAUAUUUGACUCUGAAUAAAUUUCUUCAAAUAUUUUAAA